Molecule: ribosomal RNA, 444 nt
Filed under: uncultured bacterium
Lineage: Bacteria
Description: partial 16S ribosomal RNA
Rfam family: Bacterial small subunit ribosomal RNA
Source: RNAcentral
CCUACGGGAGGCAGCAGUGGGGAAUAUUGGGCAAUGGAGGAAACUCUGACCCAGCAAUGCCGCGUGAAUGAAGAAGGUCUUCGGAUUGUAAAGCUCUUUAUUCAGGGAAGAAGUCAAUGACGGUACCUGAAGAAUAAGCUCCGGCUAAAUACGUGCCAGCAACCGCUGUAAUACGUCGGGAGCAAGAGUUGGUCGGAAUGAAUGGUCGUAAAGGUUUCGUAGGUGGGUGUACAAGUUAGAUGUGAAAUACCCAGGGCUUAACUCGGGUGCUGCUUCUAAAACUGUAUGACUUGAGUGCAGUAGAGGGAAGUGGAAUUCCUGGUGUAGCGGUGGAAUGUGUAGAUAUCAGGAGGAACACCAGAGGCGAAGGCAGCUAACUGGACUGCAACUGACGCUGAGGCACGAAAGUGUGGGGAGCAAACAGGAUUAGAUACCCCGGUAGUC